This is a non-coding RNA of Oryza sativa Japonica Group (Japanese rice), 2263 nucleotides long. The record is from RefSeq and is a predicted model, not a curated record. NCBI's taxonomy places the organism in Eukaryota, Viridiplantae, Streptophyta, Magnoliopsida, Poales, Poaceae.
GAAAACCCUAGCUUCAUCCCUUUCCUCCAGUCCACGACGCCGCCGCCGCCCUCUCGUGCCCUCCUCUCUGUCGCUGUCGCCACGUGCCCUCCUCUCCGUCGCUAUCGCCGCCCGCCCUCCUCUCCGUCGCCGCCGCCGCGCGCCCUCCUCUCCGUCGCCGUCGCCGUCAUCGCGCGCCUUCCUCUUCGUCGCCAUCGCCACUCGCCUUCCUCUCCGUCGCCGUCGCCGCUGCCUCCCUCUAUUUCGCCGGCGACACCGCCGCUGCCAUCCUCUAUUCCGCCGGUCAUGCCGUUGCCACCUCCCUCUAUUUCGCCGGUGAUGCUGCCGCCCUCUAUUCCACCUUCGUUGUUGUCCUCUGCUCUGGUGCCGUCACCGCCAAACUGCCCUCCUAGUUGCAGCUAGAGGUGUUUGCCUGUGUGGCCCUGCUCUUUCCCUGCCAUGGAUACGUUUCUUUGAAUGAGCAAACAAGCUUCAUGCUCUAUCACUAACUGCGAGGACAGACAAUUGCCCCAUAAUGCUUGAGUCUUUUGUCCAAGACGAUUCCAACAUCAGGAUUGCCAUCUAUUCAAGUAAUACACGGUACUAUUCCUCUCAUUGCGAUUAACUGCUACUUUCUAUGACAUAAAUUAUGCAUUGGAUCCCAAUCAGUGGCACUAAGUUUUAGGUUGACUGCAAUGCCUUUUCUCUGCAGUUGCUCACUGCAAUUGCUUUUUGUCAAGCCUCAUUGAUGUAUUCAACAAGUAUCAGUCGCUGAAGCAAGUUCUGCUGCAGCACAAAUCUAACAGUGUUAGGUUCUUAUGUUCUUCUGGUUAUACCUAGCAUUCUUCAAUGCCAAUUUAUCACAUUUCUAGGUGCCUUUUCUGGUUAUAGUUUCUUACUCUAUUUUUAUAGCAUCUAUAUGAAGCAGCAAUAGUCAUUUCAGGAUUCUUUCCUGCUGGUAGGACAGAUGUGGAAUCAUAACAAAUGUCCAAAUUUGGCGUGUUUCAUAUGACCUAAGUAGCAAAAAGAUAGGCAUUAGUACAAUUAGACAUGGCUUGUGGGUAAUAAGGCUUAGCUAUAUGGUCAUUAACUUAGCUAUAAAGUUGUUACUUGACCAGAUCAGCUAUCUGGCAGAACUAAGACUUACAACUGGCACAUCACUUCAGAGAACAUACUUGCUUAGACCUGCAACUUGCAUGUACCAUAUUCUUCAGAUACGUUGGUUGCCCAUAUAAAAUGGGGUCUUAAUUCCUUUACGUGCAAUAAUUCAUAAAGUCUGAAUUCAUCUUCAACAGUGCUUUGGUCACAACCAAUUGAAAGCUGUAGAUAUUUCUUACCACACACAUUCCUUAUGGUAGUGUUCAAAUAAAAUAAAUUUACUCUAAAUAUUUGCUUGACUGAAAGACAAUUUACCUUUAUUGCAUUUCAGGAUUCAGUUAUACCCUAAAACAGAUUUAUUUGACCCUUUAUAAAGUUACAUGUCCAUAUUAUAUAUUCAUAUUAAUAUUAGUUUAUUCCAAGCUACAGUCCAAAUAAAUAAUUGAACCAUUUGGUAGUAAUCAGUUGUUGAGCAAAGCUCCCAAAUAGCACGUGUAAUCAAGUUCUAUUGUGUUGUAUUCAUACUCUCAGAUGGUGGUUAGAUCUUUAUGCCACAUUAUGACUUAAUGAAUGUAUCCUCUUAUGUGAAUUAGCUAAGCAUUGACAAGUGAAGUCCUUGCAUGAUUACAUCUUAUUUAAUCUUUGUAAGAUAAGUUAAUUAGCAUAUCCAUAUGUUUUUAGUUUUGACUUACACAAAGAAACUGCUAUAUUUAGUCACUGGCUAAUUCAUUACUUCGUUGAGUUAUUUCUCUCUUCUGUUGACUGCAGUAAUAACUGGUGCUUUCUUCACUAGGUCAACAUCUCCUUUGUUUAUAUAUACCUUACCCAUCUUUACGGAAUCACAUUCACUGCACUUGCAUCUUUUUCCCUUUUCUCCAUUGAUACUAUCCUCAAUCUAUUAGUGUGGUAACACCGGUAUAUAUUCUGUUGAAUUGUAUGAUAGGUGAUGCCUUUCUGAAUGAUAUUGGUACAAUUGGAAGGAUAAUAGAGCAAAGAUUUACCUUUUGUUUUUAUGGUGUCCUGGCCAUAGUCAAACACGGGAGAUCACCAUACAUUAGUUGAUUCUGCCUAAUUCUAAUACCAAUGUAAUUGCAAGUUGACAUUGAUUUCAGACACCGCUUUGUGUAAAGAUAUUUUGUAGAAGUUCUUUUAUCCUACUUCAACCAUUGCAUGCCGAAGCAAAACA